CGGCCAGCGCGGCUUUGACCGCUUCGUUGCCGCCGAACACGCGGUCGAGCUUCUGCGACAGCGACAAAUUCCAGUCGCGGAUCGAAGGCAGCAGAUUUCGGAGCGCGGCGACGGUUUGCAGCGGUGUCUUGAAGACAUNNNNNNNNNGCGGAGGCGAUCUGUUCCAUUUCGCCGAGCAGGCGGUUGAUGCCACCCCGGGCAUCCGGAAACCGUUCGAUCAAUACACGCCGGGCGGCAUCGAAAUUGUCGGGCAGGGCCAGCGGCGCACCGACCGGUCCGCCGCGCACUUCAUAGAAGGUGCCUGACGGAAUCCAUUU
Molecule: unclassified non-coding RNA, 317 nt
Filed under: Hevea brasiliensis (rubber tree)
Lineage: Eukaryota; Viridiplantae; Streptophyta; Magnoliopsida; Malpighiales; Euphorbiaceae
Source: RNAcentral